This 1801-nucleotide long non-coding RNA is filed under the name Mus musculus (house mouse). RNAcentral describes it as "long non-coding RNA chr14:22401127-22402928". The record is from RNAcentral. Lineage: Eukaryota; Metazoa; Chordata; Mammalia; Rodentia; Muridae.
AAGCUUGAGCACUGGGUGGGUAUUGUUUGGGUCUUGGCUGUCCCCUACCAAAGCUACAUGCUAGAGGUGUGGACUCCAAGGUGGCAUUGCCAAGAGGUAGUGGAACAAUUAAGAGCUAAUGAAGGGUCUUCACAUCUCUGGGUGUAGGUCCUUAAAAGGGAUGUUGCCUCCAUGUCAUUCAUCACAUCCUGUCUCCCUCUGCUUCAUCCCUCUAUUUCUCCCUCUCAUCUUUUCCCCGAAUUGAACAGAUAUGCCUGCCAUGUGCCCUGUAUUAUGACAUACCACAAACCAGAAAUCGAAACAACAGUAACAGAUAAAACUUUUUAAAAUGUGGACUGAAAUCAACUUUUAAAAAAUAAGUUGAUUACUUCAGUCAGUAUAAUAACACAAAACUAAUUAGCACACUGUAUCUUUUAAUACUAAAAUACAGAACAGAUAGAGAAAAAUAAAAGCUUUUUAAAGCUCAUUAUUAUGAUUGCAAUGGUGUUUUCCCCCUCAGAAUGCAGACACAGGGCUAUGACAGUUGUAGAGGAGUGUAACUUCAUUAAUCCCAGAUAACCCACACCGCCCAGUGUUCACAAUUCUGUGGUGUUCCCAUAUCUGUUGACUGUGACCUUUGCCAGUGGACCUUCUCAUGGAGAAUAAGUGGAAUCUUGGUGUCAAUAGAAAGGUUGGCCUUUCUGUAAUAUUCAUCUUAGGAGCUACCUAGAGAUAAAGAAGCUCUAACCGGAUGUGUGGAAGGAGAGAGAUGUUGGUUCUCAGCCAUCCUGUCCUACUAAGGCUCUGAGAUGUGUAACACCUUCUCGAAUAUUCCAGUCUCUGCCACCAUCAGACCACAAACACAGGAAACACUUUAUGUGGGUCCUUCUCAGCUGAGCCCCUACUGGCACAGUAAUGAACAAAUGAAACAGUUACCAUUUAGAUCUACUACGUGCUUUGUGGAGUAGCAGAUAACCAAAAACAAUGAGUGGAAACACACAGGCACAUGCUCUCUCUUUCUCUCUCUCUCUCUCUCUCAAGUGCAUGCAGCUAUGCACACUGACUAGACAGCUUUAAUAUACCUGAGAAACUAGAGCUUUCGAAGGUGUGCUCAGGUUAUCUGAGGUGACUCAACCCAUAUUGACAGCUUCCUAGUUAGUCUGCUCUCAAGGUGAGUUAGUGUUUCUUAGUUACUCCCAUAUUUCAUUAAGGAAAAAGUGAUAAAGAAGUUUCUGUUUCUUUCCAGUUAGCCCCCUAGAUCCAGAGGCACCCCCGGGAGGAAGCGGCUGGGGAAAUGUGUUUAUUUCUUCAGUGCGUGAGCACCAGGGAACCUGGGAGAAUUUAUACAUCCAUCAUUUCCAGUCAUUAGGCGACAUGUUGGUCAGCACAGGAGCCUCUCCUCUCAUUAAUUCAGGGGAGAGUUCCUCAUGUCACCCUCAUUAGUAUUUAUGGGGUUUAUCCACAUCAAUCGCUAGCGCAUUAACAGGGAAAUAACUAAACCUCCCAGGGUUUGUUGGCACUAAUAAAAUGAGCUGGAAUUUGCAGAAAUCACUGUGAUCAGAAGUAUUCUAAACCAGGGCCUGGAAUUGAUCCUUUCAAAGCACCCUCUGGAUGUUUUCCUGUGUAGUUCCCUGCCAGUGACAUUUGCAUAUAGCACACUACCUAAAACCUUCUGUGCAGCUUGAGGGACUGGCCAGUCUAUGUAUUUCCAUGAAGUGACAAGGGGAAGCCCAUGAGUAUUGAAAACAGCAUGGUCAGGCCAGAGCAUCUAUGUCCACAAAGAGUUAAGUUCCUUAUAAUUCAUUUUUGUUUGGUCCCAGCU